GUCAGAGUUGACUGUGGAAAAGAGUUUUAUCUGACAUUCAUCCAGGAAAAGAUGGCAGAACGCAGACACAAUCCUCAAAUUCAGCCAUACAUUCAGACACCUACAAGGAACCAUGUGAUAGAGAGAAUGUGGUCAGAGGUGAAUGCCAGAGUCAACUACCCUUUGAAGUCAGCUUUGGUACAGCUGGUGAACCAGGAGGAACUGGACAUGGAGGACAACACAUCCAAGUAUUGUGUGUCAGACCUGACAUGCCAGAUGGCUAGGAUUGGCAUCACAAAUGUCAUAGAGGCAUGGAAUGCACACAGGAUCCCAGGAAAGGGAAUACCAAAUGAACUGGCUAAAGAAGGGUGUCCUACAAAACUUCAAGAGGACCAUCUGCCUGUUGGUACUGUUGCUGCUGACCUUUAUCAGCAGGAAUUGUGAUCAGCCUUGAAAAGGGAAUCAAUUUUUGGAUGUGAUCCUUUCCCAUUUGAAGAAGCCCAACAAUGGACUGAAAAUGAGUUUGGUUCUCACUUUGACUUGUUACCACUACACCAAAAUGUGAUUAACCAUAACUAUGGCCCUUUUAAAGAUGCGGUUAUGUCUCUUAUUGAUAUCACCAGCUGUGUGUGACCUGUUACAAGUGACCUGCAAUGAUCAAUGAAACAGUAUACUGCAAAAAACAUUUAUUACAGAAACUGUAAAACCUGUUUCAAUCCAUAACAA
RNAcentral lists this long non-coding RNA (705 nucleotides) under Sinocyclocheilus anshuiensis. RNAcentral describes it as "lncRNA (ENSSANG00000041997.1)". Lineage: Eukaryota; Metazoa; Chordata; Actinopteri; Cypriniformes; Cyprinidae. The record is from RNAcentral.